GAGAGAGAGAGAGAGAGAGAGAGAGAGAGAGAGAGAGAGAGAGAGGAGUGUGGACGGGAGCCUCAGGGAGAAGGAAAACACGGACCCACGGACGCUCCCACGGCCACUCAAAGCCCGGAGGUGAGUCCAGGUUCAGUCGGAGCACCUCUCGGUUCAGGAAGAAGAGAAGAAGCCGGAGAAAGUCAUGGACACAGCGGGGGAGUUAAAGAGAAGCUAAAGUCUCCGUUAAAAUAAAAAACAAAAACACCGAGAAACCAGAAGAAGUGUCCGGAGAGGAAAGAGGAACAGGAUGGGGAUGGAUUUCAGCACUCUUCGGACCCUCAUCAGCCGAUAUUGUGUCGGUGAGGAGAACUGGGUGGACAGCAGGACAAUUUACAUCGGACAUAAGGAGCCUCCUCCGGGAACCGAGGCCUUCAUACAACAGAGAUUUCCCGACAACAGAAUCGUCUCCUCUAAGUACACAUUUUGGAACUUCAUCCCCAAGAAUAUGUUUGAGCAGUUCAGGAGAGUCGCCAACUUCUACUUUCUCAUCAUAUUUCUGGUUCAGCUGAUCAUCGACACUCCCACCAGUCCGAUCACCAGCGGACUGCCGCUCUUCUUUGUCAUCACCGUCACCGCCAUCAAACAGGGUUAUGAGGACUGGUUGAGACACAAAGCAGACAACGCUGUCAACAAAUGUCCCGUGCACGUGGUGCAGCAUGGGAAAGUGCUCCGCAAACAAAGUCGCAAGCUCAGGGUCGGAGAUGUUGUCUUAGUGAAAGAAGACGAGAGUUUUCCCUGUGAUCUCAUCCUUCUGUCCUCGUCUCGGGACGACGGGACAUGCUAUGUUACUACAGCCAGUCUGGAUGGAGAGAGCAGCCACAAAACAUACUAUGCAGUUCAGGACACUAAAGCGUACAACACGGAGAAGGAGGUGGACUCGAUCCACGCCACGAUAGAAUGUGAACAACCGCAGCCAGAUCUGUACAAAUUCGUGGGCCGUAUCAACAUCUACAUGGACAAUGAGCCAGUGGCCAGACCUUUGGGAUCAGAGAACCUGCUUCUCCGAGGAGCCACACUCAAGAACACAGAAUAUAUCUUUGCUGUUGCCAUCUACACUGGCAUGGAAACCAAGAUGGCGCUCAACUACCAGUCCAAGUCCCAGAAAAGAUCUGCAGUGGAAAAGUCAAUGAAUGCCUACCUGGUGGUCUACCUGUGCAUUCUCAUCAGCAAAGCCGUCAUCAACACGGUGCUGAAAUACGCGUGGCAAGCCGACCCCAACAGAGACGAGCCCUGGUACAACGAGAGGACAGAAGUCGAGAGGCAGAGACACGUUCUGAUCAGGGCGUUCACGGACUUCCUAGCCUUCAUGGUUCUUUUCAACUACAUCAUUCCCGUCUCGAUGUACGUCACCGUGGAGAUGCAGAAGUUCCUGGGCUCCUACUUCAUCAUGUGGGACGACGAGAUGUUUGAUGAGGAGCUGGGGGAGAGAGCUGUGGUCAACACAUCAGACCUGAACGAGGAGCUGGGACAGGUGGAAUAUGUGUUUACAGACAAGACGGGGACUCUGACAGAGAACAACAUGGAGUUCAUAGAGUGUUGUGUGGACGGCCACGUUUAUGUACCGCAUGUUAUCUGUAACGGUCAGGUGAUGCCUGGUGCCGCCGGUAUGGACAUGAUCGACACAUCGCCUGGCCCCAAAGCAAGAGAGCACGAGGAGCUGUUUUUCCGGGCGCUGUGUUUGUGCCACACGGUGCAGGUGAAAGAGGAGGAGACGGUGGACGGGAUCAAACACGGCAUCCACCAGGGCAAGUCCACUUCCUUCUACAUCUCCUCUUCUCCGGACGAAGUGGCGCUGGUGGAGGGCAUGAAGAGGCUCGGUUUCACUUAUCUGAGACUCAAGGACGGUCAGAUGGAAAUCUUAAAUAGGGAGGAUGAGAUUGAGAGGUUUGAGCUGUUAGAGGUUUUGACAUUUGACUCAGUCAGACGGAGGAUGAGCGUCAUUGUCAGGGCCAACACUGGUGAGCUGUACCUGUUCUGUAAAGGGGCAGACUCUUCCAUCUUCCCCAGGGUCAUCUCAGGCAAGGUGGAUCAGGUCAGAGCUCGAGUGGAGCACAAUGCAGUGGAGGGUCUGAGGACACUCUGUGUUGCCUAUCGCCCUUUAAGUCCUGAACAAUACCAGGAGGUUUGCCAUCUGCUCAGCAGCGCCAAGUUGGCACUACAGGACCGAGACAAACGACUGGCUGAGGCUUACGACCUAAUCGAGAAAGACCUGAUACUGCUGGGAGCCACUGCUGUGGAGGACAGGCUACAGGAAAAAGCAGCAGACACCAUCGAGUCCCUGCACAAAGCCGGUAUGAAGGUGUGGGUGUUGACCGGAGAUAAGAUGGAGACGGCGGCCGCCACCUGCUACGCCAGCAAGCUGUUUCGCCGCAACACCCAGAUCCUGGAGCUGACGACGAAGCGUACGGAGGAGCAGAGCCUUCACGAUGUCCUGUUUGACCUGAGCAGGACGGUCCUUCGGCAGCAUGGCGGCAUGACCCGGGACACCUUCUCUGGUUUAUCAGGCGACUGUACUGACUAUGGUCUGAUCAUUGACGGAGCCACCCUCUCUGCGGUGAUGAGGCCUGGCCAGGAGGACUCAAACUCAGGGAAUUACAAAGAGAUCUUCCUGGAAAUCUGCCGCAACUGCAGCGCUGUGCUCUGCUGUCGAAUGGCGCCGCUUCAGAAAGCACAGAUCGUCAAGCUGAUCAAAGCAUCCAAGGAGCACCCAAUCACUCUGGCAAUUGGAGAUGGAGCUAAUGAUGUCAGCAUGAUCCUGGAGGCUCAUGUCGGCAUUGGUAUAAUGGGUAAAGAGGGUCGCCAGGCCGUGAGAAACAGCGACUACGCCAUCCCAAAGUUCAAACAUCUCAAGAAGAUGCUGCUAGUCCACGGACAUUAUUACUACAUACGCAUCUCUGAGCUUGUGCAGUACUUCUUCUACAAGAAUGUCUGUUUCAUCUUCCCCCAGUUCCUCUACCAGUUCUUUUGUGGCUUCUCGCAACAACCACUGUACGAUACAGCAUAUUUGACUCUCUACAACAUCAGCUUCACCUCGCUGCCCAUUCUGCUCUACAGUCUAAUAGAGCAGCACAUUAACAUGGACAUCCUGAAGAAGGACCCCUCUCUCUACAGAGAUAUUGCUAAGAACUCUCUGCUGCGGUGGCCCAGCUUCAUAUACUGGACUGUCUUGGGUGUAUAUGACGCCAUCGUGAUGUUCUUCGGUGCUUACUUCCUGUUUGACAACACCACCUUCACCAGCAAUGGACAGCUAAUGACAACCAACACACAGAUGAUGUUUGGAAACUGGACAUUUGGGACUCUGGUCUUCACUGUGUUGGUCUUCACUGUUACAUUCAAGUUGGCUCUAGAUACUCAUUACUGGACUUGGAUCAACCAUUUUGUCAUCUGGGGCUCACUCAUCUUCUUUGUGGUCUUCUCUCUACUGUGGGGCGGAAUCAUCUGGCCCUUCCUCAACUACCAGAGGAUGUAUUACGUGUUCAUGCAGAUGUUGUCCAGCGGCCCUGCCUGGCUCAGUAUUAUCCUCCUGAUAACGGCCAGUCUGCUGCCAGAUGUGGUGAAGAAGGUCAUCUGGAGGGCGCUGUGGCCCACUACUACUGAACGCAUACAGAAUGCUGAUAAACUCUACAAGGGCCAGCUGUCAGAGUUCACCCCCCUGGCGUCCCUCCACGCCCCACCCAAGGCUGGCAGCCGCCGGCGAGGCUCGGAAAACCAAAGGAACAACCAGAACCCUCGAAGGUCUGAAACCUUUACCAAGAAAAUCAUGUUCACGCGCUGGCAAAGAGCGCCAGACUACUGCACCUUCACCCCCCUCCUCCGAUUCGCAGACGGCUCAAGGCAGGGACACGCUUUUGGCGGGGCGGGGCCUGAGACCUCAGUCUAAUUUAUUUCCUUUUGUCUGGUGUUCUUCUGUCCUUUUAUUCUGGAAUUGAACCGAACAAAGUAAUUGGUGGAAAGUAAAAUUGCCCAAAAGAAACAAAACCAACUGGAUUCAAAUAACGGACUAUGUUGCUCAUAGCAGAUAUUUGGAAUCCAGUAAAAUGGAUUACAGUGAAAGUGACCUUUACGACUGCUCCCAAGUCAGCAGCCAAGUGUGGCGGCUAUGGAAAGGACUCCUCGUUCGCCACAACAACAUGCAAAGGGCUCAGUGUAAUGAUGUCACAACAAACAAACAAACAAACAAGAGCUUUGAUUUCAAACUACAAACUACGUGCACUGGCCCUUUACAUGUGUCUGCCUCCAACGGCAGCCGAAGUGUUCUUUAAAUCCUGGGAUUUUUGAAUGGUUAUGGUGAUAAUGAUGAUGCUGGAAUUGUGAUGAUGAUGAUGAUGAUGAAGACUGUAACAGUGCUUAAGCCAGCUCAAGUUCUCUCUGACCAAACCAUCCCUCUAUCUUUUCUUUCCUUCUUUUUUUUCUCCUCUGUCUGUUCUGCCUCUUUGCAGGACUAACUGGUGUUGCCUGUGUGCAAACAUGUUGUCCAGAAACACUCCGUAGGACUCUGGGGUCAGAUCCUACAGCACUCCAUCUCUCUUUUUCUCUCUCCCUCUACUGAAGCGACAUGGAAGUUUUCCUACCUCUGCGGCAUCAUCAUCAUCACCCUUCUCUCGUCUGCAUCUUCUCGGCCAUCCCUCCAUUCAUCCAUCCAUUGAUCCAUCCUUUGUGAGACAGAGCAGGAAUGUUGUUUUGUACUCUUUCAAUAGCAAUCCUAUGAACCAAAGCCUUGUUGCUGCUAGAGAUACUUAUAGCUGCUUUACAUUAGGUGCCUUGCGCUAGUUUAUGGAAUCUACCUUUUGUUUCUCCUGUGCUCGCUUUACGGUGAACUAUUCGUACGCUCUUGGAAGGUACAAAGGUUCUGCACAUGAUGGAUGCACGGAUGCACAACUGAGGAGCGAUGAGUUAAUGGAAGGGUGAAUAUAAAAGGUCCUAAAAGAACGAUAUACGGUCAGAGAACAAAUGAGUUACCACUUGCACCAAAACGCUCAUUGACUUACGUUUAAUAUCUAUUUUUUAUUGUUUUUAUUCCAGAUGUUUUAUACAUGCCCCUGAAGGCAUCCGUCUCUGAAAUGUUAUUUUUACUGUUUUUAUUUAUGUACAAUGUGUAAAAAUCCCUGUUUACUCACUGGAAAGACAACAGUGCGAUGUUGUCGUUACUCUUUAUUUUAAGAGAGAAGACUUGAAGAGCUCCAGCACUGCUUGAUCAAUCAGUGUUACAAACUGGGAUAUUUGAAAACACAUUCUGUGUGUUUCUUUAACUUUAACACCCAAACUUGCUUUUUUUUUUCUACUUCCAUUUUGUUUUUGGGUGAACCAGAUUACAAAACACAUCACCAGUAAUCCAGUUCCUGCUUCUAUUGUGUGUCUGAAUUCAGAUUGGGAUUUGACAGACAGAGGUUCUUAAAAGGAGAUGUUUUUCAACCCAAGCUGUGUGCCAGUAUUUUAUACUCUGACUGUUAAAGGUAGAGUCAGGUAUUCGAACACAUCCUCAGAGGCAUCGUCCUCCAAAUUCAUGAAGGCAUCAACACGAAAGGCACUUUUCCACUCGCACCUACUCGGAUCGACUCAAGUCUGCUCAACUCGGUUUAAGUCGUUUUACGUCACAGCUGAGUACCACCUCAUCGUGGGUGGAGUCACAAAACACUCAACGUCCUCAAACAUGGUCUCGAAUAACGCAGCAGCGGAGUCGAGGUCACUCUCCCUCCUGUUGCUCGCCAGUCGAUGCCUGUAAAUGGCGUUCAUUUGGCUAAACCACUUCCCACUCCGGCCGUUGUGGUUCUUGAUGGACCGAUAGUCACUUUUGAGCUUUUUCAGUUUCUCCUGACACUGCUUCAUUGUCCUGCUGCAUCCGUGGUGGGCCAUCCGUUCAGAGACCUCCUGAUAAACUUUCUCGUUGCAAGUCGCACCGUCCAGCUCCGUCUGUAUUCUUUGAUCCACCACCAAAGACAGAAAAGUCUCGACCUCUUCAUUCACCCACGGUAACAGGUCUCAUGUGUCGUCACUCCCUGUCCAGUCAGUGGCCUGAACUCUGUAGACGUCACAUUAUCGGCUCGACUCAGCUCACUUGGAACCCCGGCCGAGUAGGUACUAAAAUAGUAUCUGGUACCAGGUACUACGUCCUAAUAGAAAACCUCACAAACCGAAUAGAGUCGAGCUGAGUAGGUGCUGGUGGAAACUUGGGCUACUGGACCAAAAGAGAAACGCUCCAGCCUUACAGGCGUGGAAGCGGACAUUUCAUUAUAAUUAUAGCCUAAGCUAAACAAAAGUUACAUCAUUAAACGUCAGCAGCCUGUUGCUGAAUCACCUUUUUGCUUGAUAUUUCUCAUUAGAAACAUGGAGGAGAGGCGAUAUUGUCUUAACUGAACAAAAAUGGAUCUGGAUUAGAAUGGCUAACUCUAUCUUUAAGGAACUAGACAGAAUUGACUGUUGACAAAAAUCCUCCCGAAAAACAAAAAAAGAAACAACGUGAGGGCAGCAAUGAACCCGUCACAUCCAAGGUUGCUGAAAGUCCUUAAAAUGGGAAUCCAUAUAGUAUGACCACUAGCUGAAAGAUGCGAGGAGUUUAAUGAAAGUGAAGUUGGAAUGUUGCCUUGCAUGUGAAUGACCCACUGCAACAAAUGUGGCCUAUAAGCACUAGCCGAGUGGUAGUGAGUAAAUAAUUACAAUUGUGCUAGUGAUGCAUUCAGAUGUCAUCCAUCCCAGUGAAUUACUGGAGCUUGAACCACCUGAACAUGUUCCUUGUAUUCACUUUCAUUCUGAAUUACGGUAAGUUAAGAGACUCAGAGGUAAAGAUGUUUGAAUUUAAAUUUGCAGAAUUUACUGGAUAACUGGAUGAAUAUUUGCACUUCAAAAUCUUUGAGCACAUCUGAAAACUAUUUAAAAACCAAUAUGUUACACAACAAUACCUGUUUUAUAUCUAUGUUAGACAUCAUGAGAGGCUUUCACUUCUUUUUUUUACUUUUUGGAGACAGUAUUUGAUGUGUGUCUUAUUUAUGUCGAAGAAUAUUUCAAAAACCAAACUGGAUUGUGACAAAACAACACUGGACAUGUAUGUACAGUAUGUAUGCAUAGUUUUAAAUGAAAAAAAAGAUAUUUCUGUGGUGUUAGCUGAUGCUCAGAACUGAACCAUCUUGUCUGACAUUUUGACACUCUGCUGUAGAAACUUUCAAAGCCAUUCAUGGUGGAUUUAGAGUCUCACUGUACCGGCCUCUCUUGUCCUUACUGUCCUGAUCUUUCAAAACCACCAGAACUGACAGCCUUCAAACAGAAUGUUAUCUUUUCUCUUUUACAACGUGUUCUUGUAUAGUGAUCUAUACUUCUCAUAACCGAUAGUAUCUAUAAGUCACUGUACACUCAGAUACAGGAUAUAUAUAUAUAUAUAUA
This is an RNA transcript of Amphiprion ocellaris (clown anemonefish), 7416 nucleotides long. It is a transcript of the gene named ATPase phospholipid transporting 11A, with no coding region annotated. NCBI's taxonomy places the organism in Eukaryota, Metazoa, Chordata, Actinopteri, Pomacentridae. The record is from RefSeq and is a predicted model, not a curated record. The transcript has 32 exons.